CUAGAACGAUUGACACAUUCACAUACAUUAUACUUUCUAUUAAUUAGUUAAACAGAUUUACAGGCUAUUGGCCUCCCACAAGGCAAGAGGAGAUUUGAAUCACUAAAAUGCCUCCCCUCUAUAUCCAAAGUUGAUUUACCAGUGGAUGUUACUAGAACUUUUUGUACUGAGCUAAGCUGUCCAAAUGUACAAUUCACCAGCGAUCACCCUUCCAGGGAAUCAUCCAGGAAAUGGAAGAGAAAAGAAUGUGUUCCGGUCCUGCCCGCCACAGAAAAGAGAGGUGAGGGCGCCAAAAAAUUAGGAAUCUGAUAUGAACAAACAUUAAUACAUAUCCGCCACAGAAAAGAAAGAGGUGAGGGCGCCAAAAAAUUAGGAAUCUGAUAUGAACAAACAUUAAUACGAAUUAGCAGAGUGGAGUACCUACCAAUAAGAGAGCUCCUAGGUGCCAGCACUGAUGUAAGAGAGCGGUUUCCUGUUGAUUGAUGUGUGCGCACUAGCAAGAGCUCAUCUUGUCAUCCACAUACUUUGCUGAGCAAAAGUAAUCAUUGUUCUGCCACCAUGGAAUCUGCUCCUAUUCAGAAUCCGAAUCAAUACUUAGAUACAAUCUCGGUCUUACAGAACGACGUUGACGAGGAAAUGUAAAAGGACUAUCUGAUCGUUCUCUAAUGCUC
Molecule: long non-coding RNA, 671 nt
Filed under: Nicotiana benthamiana
Lineage: Eukaryota; Viridiplantae; Streptophyta; Magnoliopsida; Solanales; Solanaceae
Description: long non-coding RNA (NBEN_LNC040097)
Source: RNAcentral